CCAGAUUUUUCUGAACUACAACCCCCAUGAUUCUCUGGCUAUCUAUGUAAUUCAAAGAAUCAUGGGAGUUGUAGUUCAGCAACAUCUGG
Pelobates cultripes (western spadefoot toad) is the source of this 89-nucleotide non-coding RNA. The record is from the annotation of a GenBank genome assembly. Lineage: Eukaryota; Metazoa; Chordata; Amphibia; Anura; Pelobatidae.